AGUGAACGCUGGCGGCGUGCCUAACACAUGCAAGUCGAGCGAUUCUCUUCGGAGAAGAGCGGCGGACGGGUGAGUAACGCGUGGGUAACCUGCCCUGUACACACGGAUAACAUACCGAAAGGUAUGCUAAUACGAGAUAAUAUGCUUUUAUCGCAUGGUAGAAGUAUCAAAGCUUUUGCGGUACAGGAUGGACCCGCGUCUGAUUAGCUAGUUGGUAAGGUAACGGCUUACCAAGGCGACGAUCAGUAGCCGACCUGAGAGGGUGAUCGGCCACAUUGGAACUGAGACACGGUCCAAACUCCUACGGGAGGCAGCAGUGGGGAAUAUUGCACAAUGGGCGAAAGCCUGAUGCAGCAACGCCGCGUGAGCGAUGAAGG
Molecule: ribosomal RNA, 377 nt
Filed under: uncultured bacterium
Lineage: Bacteria
Description: bacterial SSU rRNA
Rfam family: Bacterial small subunit ribosomal RNA
Source: RNAcentral